AUUGAACGCUGGCGGCAUGCCUUACACAUGCAAGUCGAACGGCAGCACGGGUGCUUGCCCCUGGUGGCGAGUGGCGAACGGGUGAGUAAUACAUCGGAACAUGUCCUGUAGUGGGGGAUAGCCCGGCGAAAGCCGGAUUAAUACCGCAUACGAUCUACGGAUGAAAGCGGGGGCCCUUCGGGCCUCGCGCUAUCGGGUUGGCCGAUGGCUGAUUAGCUAGUUGGUGGGGUAAAGGCCUACCAAGGCGACGAUCAGUAGCUGGUCUGAGAGGACGACCAGCCACACUGGGACUGAGACACGGCCCAGACUCCUACGGGAGGCAGCAGUGGGGAAUUUUGGACAAUGGGCGAAAGCCUGAUCCAGCAAUGCCGCGUGUGUGAAGAAGGCCUUCGGGUUGUAAAGCACUUUUGUCCGGAAAGAAAUCCUUGGCCCUAAUACGGUCGGGGGAUGACGGUACCGGAAGAAUAAGCACCGGCUAACUACGUG
This 486-nucleotide ribosomal RNA is filed under the name uncultured bacterium. RNAcentral describes it as "partial 16S ribosomal RNA". It matches the Rfam family "Bacterial small subunit ribosomal RNA", at positions 30 to 507 of the family's 1533-position model. The record is from RNAcentral.